Molecule: long non-coding RNA, 1618 nt
Organism: Oncorhynchus kisutch (coho salmon)
Lineage: Eukaryota; Metazoa; Chordata; Actinopteri; Salmoniformes; Salmonidae
Source: Ensembl
CUGUGCUACUAGAGGACACCCUGCUGCCAGGGAUUGUCAUUCAAUUAGUUUCUUAUCCAUAGUUCAGUCUAAAUCUAAUACAAAUGAAUUAUUCAACCAUGUUAAAGAGAGAUACAUUAUGCUUCAUUAUGCUUAUGGGAAUUUUCCCUGACCCAUAAUCAUUUAAAAAGGCUUGUUUCAAAUUCUGCAUGACAAUGUCCCCAUAUUAGUAAAUAAAAAGGUCCAGACUAUUGCCCUGGCAAUACAGUGAAAUAUUGAACAAUUUAAGCUUUUUUUGCAUGUUGUCAUAUCCUGUCAUAUCCAUGUCAUAUCCUGUUUCCCCCCAGGUUUGAGAAGUUGACCAGCGGUAUGUACUUCAGGGAGAUAGUGAGACAGAUUCUCAUCGACCAACCAGGAGAGGUCUUCUAUUCCGAGGCCACAUCACAGAGCUUCUGAAGAGAGACCAAGUAGUACAGCUACUAAGUGACCGCUUGGCGCUACUGCAGGUGCGGUCCAUUCUGCUGCAGCUGCGUCUGGGCAGCAUACGUGAUGACAGCGUCAUCGUCAAGGUGGUGUGGUCCAUUUUUUUAUAUAUUUAAAAAAAAAAUAACAACAAAUCAAUACAGGAAGAACAUGUGGGAACGCAAGUAUAAAUAAAUAAUAUACAAAGGACAAUUGGGCUAGGGGGUAUAGGGUGCGGGGCUGGAGGCGGGGCUAGGGUGUACAAUAUCACAUUAAACAAGGACCUAACACUUAUAAUUCUAACAGCUUUUUUUGUUAGUAGAGUAUUUAAUUGUCUUAAAAUAUAGUUCCAUUUAUUUUUGUAAGGUAAAAAAAAUGUGGUGUUUUGUUUGUAAAAUUUACAUUCAUGAAUAUGACAUUUGGUCAAAAGAAUUACAUAAAAUUGUUUCAUCUUAUUUCUAUUGUAGGUAAAUAAUCCAAGCAGUACAUCUCUCCACAAUAGUGUAAAAUCUUCAUAAAUAUGUUCAAUUAUAAAUCUACUGAUGUCUUGCCACAGUUUCCUUACAUGAAUACAACGCCAAAAAAGAUGCAACACUGUUUCUGGGUGGUCAUUACAAAAGGUACAAUUUGAGUUGAUGUUUUCCUUAAACUUCUUCAUAUAGUGGUUGGCAGGAUAAUAUUUAUGAACCAUUUUAAAGGAAACUUCCUUAAUUUUGUUAACAAGUAGGCAUGUGUGCAGCAACAUCCAAACUUUUUUUCCAAAAGAUAUUAUCAAUAGAUCUGUUCCAAUAAGGCAUGACAUAAGGUAUAGAUACAACAUCUUGCUGAAACAAGAUUCAUAUUGCUCUUGUUGAAUGGACCAAAAGAGAAACAAAUCUUUCCUACUGAUGAGUCAACAGAGUCAAUAGAAGGUAGGCUCUGAGGGUCUUGACACAUUCCUGAAUAAUAAAGCAACACCUGAGGGAAUGGCAUCUAAAACAAUUGCAAAAUCUUUAGGUGUUACGGGGACCUUGUAAAGUGAUAAGAAUUCCUUAUAACUAAGUAAAAGACCCUCUGCAUUUACAAGUUGGCUCACCAAUAGGAUAUUAUUUCAGAACCAAUAUUCUAAAAACAAAUAAGUAUUUUUAUACAAUAUAUCACGAUUAUUCCAUAUAUAAUACCUGUGUUGAGAAACAUU